RNAcentral lists this long non-coding RNA (312 nucleotides) under Mytilus galloprovincialis (Mediterranean mussel). Lineage: Eukaryota; Metazoa; Mollusca; Bivalvia; Mytilida; Mytilidae. The record is from RNAcentral.
UUGUAACAUAUUUUAUAUACUCAUUUUUAAAAGAUGACCUUUUGAUGGACAUCGCCAUGUGACGUUUCUCUACAUUUUACCUUUUGCAGUUAGACUUCAUCUGUUGAUGUAUACUGUGAACGUUUUGUGCAUAUUUAAAUAUAUUAACUUAUUUUGAAAGACAUGCAUAAUGUCAAAUAAUUAACAUGAUGAAAAUACAAAUUGUUUAGUCUCAAGAAAACAUUUAAGAUUUCCACUGCUACUUUUACUAAAUAGGUGCAAUUUGGGUAUCGUGACAUUACAACUUACAAUCAUUUCAUACACCAAACAUAG